AAGUCGUAACAAGGUUUCCGUAGGUGAACCUGCGGAAGGAUCAUUAAAGAGAGAUUGGGGCGCCCCCGGGCCCCCGAACCUCCCAACCCUAUGCCAACGUACCCUUAGUUGCUUUGGCGGGGCGCGGCCAGCAAUAGCCCCGCUGGUCCCCUCACCGGGGCCGGUGAGCCCCCGCCAGAGGAUCAUAAAAUUCUUGCUUUUAAGAACGGUGAAGUCUGAACUUUUCUAUUUGAAAUAGCGAAAAAACUUUCAACAACGGAUCUCUUGGUUCUG
This 273-nucleotide unclassified non-coding RNA is filed under the name air metagenome. RNAcentral's name for it is "partial contains small subunit ribosomal RNA, internal transcribed spacer 1, and 5.8S ribosomal RNA". The stretch from base 1 to 46 matches the Rfam family "Eukaryotic small subunit ribosomal RNA", at positions 1786 to 1831 of the family's 1831-position model. The record is from RNAcentral.